Molecule: ribosomal RNA, 248 nt
Filed under: uncultured bacterium
Lineage: Bacteria
Description: partial small subunit ribosomal RNA
Rfam family: Bacterial small subunit ribosomal RNA
Source: RNAcentral
AGGACGAACGCUGGCGGCGUGCUUAACACAUGCAAGUCGAACGAACCUUCGGGUUAGUGGCGAACGGGUGAGUAACACGUGGGCAACCUGCCUCGAGCUCUGGGAUAACACCGGGAAACCGGUGCUAAUACCGGAUAUGAACAGAGAAGGCAUCUUCUCUGUUGGAAAGUUUUUUCGGCUCGAGAUGGGCCCGCGGCCUAUCAGCUUGUUGGUGGGGUAACGGCCUACCAAGGCGACGACGGGUAACC